AGCCGACGGUAAUACGGUAGGUGGCAAGCGUUGUCCGGAAUUAUUGGGCGUAAAGCGCGCGCAGGCGGCUUCUUAAGUCCAUCUUAAAAGUGCGGGGCUUAACCCCGUGAUGGGAUGGAAACUGAGAGGCUGGAGUAUCGGAGAGGAAAGUGGAAUUCCUAGUGUAGCGGUGAAAUGCGUAGAGAUUAGGAAGAACACCGGUGGCGAAGGCGACUUUCUGGACGACAACUGACGCUGAGGCGCGAAAGCGUGGGGAGCAA
RNAcentral lists this ribosomal RNA (260 nucleotides) under uncultured bacterium. Its description in RNAcentral is "partial 16S ribosomal RNA". It matches the Rfam family "Bacterial small subunit ribosomal RNA", at positions 513 to 771 of the family's 1533-position model. The record is from RNAcentral.